RNAcentral lists this long non-coding RNA (1547 nucleotides) under Hordeum vulgare. RNAcentral describes it as "long non-coding RNA (HVUL_LNC008451)". The record is from RNAcentral. Lineage: Eukaryota; Viridiplantae; Streptophyta; Magnoliopsida; Poales; Poaceae.
GUCCUCCUAGAGAUCUAUACCAUGCACUGUACCGAAUAUGGAUUAGCAGGUCAUAACUUGCUAAGCGCUUGAGACAGGACACCUAGUCUGACACUGUAUGUUGUAGGUUGAUUCCAUCGAGCGACACAAGAGGAGGGACACUGAGUUGACAUAUCAGGCCUGCUGUAAAAGAAAAGGAAGAGACGUGUCGGACCUCUCUGGAAUGGAGUAAAAAGGUCAUUGGAGCUGCCGUUGAUGUGAAAUCCUUAGGGAACUCCGUUGCAAACAGACUGUGUUUCUAUCGAACACGUGGUGGGGGUUGUAAUCUAAAACACAUGCAAACAGACUGUGUUGUCACUUCGAUCGGGACCCACGUAACCUCCUAUCAAAUUUAGCUCUCCGUGUUACACCCGCGGCCGCUGUUUGCCUGCUUAACAAAGCCUGCUUACUUAGCAGAGACUGUAAAUGGUUUGCAGCUCAGCAGCAAACAACACGAAUCUUACCAUCACUGUACAACUCGGAUUAGAGGGUGCCGGGACUCCCGGGUGUUAUAGCACCUUUUAGUUUAUGAGAGUGGCUUUUUAGAACCCGGGUGUCCAGACACCCUCUUAUCACCACCGUAUGUCCUCCUAGAGAUCUAUACCAUGCACUGUACCGAAUAUGGAUUAGCAGGUCAUGACUUGCUAAGCGCUUGCGACAGGACACCUAGUCUGACACUGUAUGUUGUAGGUUGAUUCCAUCGAGCGACACAAGAGGAGGGACACUGAGUUGACAUAUCAGGCCUGCUGUAAAAGAAAAGGAAGAGACGUGUCGGACCUCUCUGGAAUGGAGUAAAAAGGUCAUUGGAGCUGCCGUAGAUGUGAAAUCCUUAGGGAACUCCGUUGCAAACAGACCGUGUUUCUAUCAAAGACGUGGUGGGGGUUGUAAUCUAAAACACAUGCAAACAGACUGUGUUGUCACUUCGAUCGGGACCCACGUAACCUCCUAUCAAAUCUAGCUCUCCAUGUUACACAUGCGGCCGCUGUUUGCCUGCUUAACAAAGCCUGCUUACUUAGCAGAGACUGUAAAUGGUUUGCAGCUCAGCAGCAAACAACACGAAUCUUACCAUCACUGUACAGCUCAGAUUAGAGGGUGCCGGGACUCCCGGGUGUUAUAGCACCUUUUCGUUUAUGAGAGUGGCUUUUUAGAACCCGGGUGUCCAGACACCCUCUUAUCACCACCGUAUGUCCUCCUAGAGAUCUAUACCAUGCACUAUACCGAAUAUGGAUUAGCAGGUCAUCACUUGCUAAGCGCUUGAGACAGGACACCUAGUCUGACACUGUAUGUUGUAGGUUGAUUCCAUCGAGCGACACAAGAGGAGGGACACUGAGUUGACAUAUCAGGCCUGCUGUAAAAGAAAAGGAAGAGACGUGUCGGACCUCUCUGGAAUGGAGUAAAAAGGUCAUUGGAGCUGCCGUUGAUGUGAAAUCCUUAGGGAACUCCGUUGCAAACAGACUGUGUUUCUAUCGAAAACGUGGUGGGGGUUGUAAUCUAAAACACAUGCAAACAGACUGUGUUGUCACUUCGAU